This 341-nucleotide ribosomal RNA is filed under the name uncultured bacterium. RNAcentral's name for it is "bacterial SSU rRNA". It matches the Rfam family "Bacterial small subunit ribosomal RNA", at positions 1 to 334 of the family's 1533-position model. The record is from RNAcentral.
ACACGUGAUUCAGAGUUUGAUCCUGGCUCAGGACGAACGCUGGCGGCGUGCCUAACACAUGCAAGUCGAACGGAGUAAGGAGAGCUUGCUUUCCUUACUUAGUGGCGAACGGGUGAGUAACGCGUGAGGAACCUGCCUUUCAGUGGGGGACAACAGUUGGAAACGACUGCUAAUACCGCAUAAUGUUAUCGGAUGGCAUCAUCUGGUAACCAAAGCUUUAUGUGCUGAAAGAUGGCCUCGCGCCUGAUUAGAUAGUUGGUGGGGUAACGGCCUACCAAGUCGACGAUCAGUAGCCGGUCUGAGAGGAUGAACGGCCACAUUGGGACUGAGAUACGGCCCAG